UACAGAGGUCUCAAGCGUUGUUCGGAUUCAUUGGGCGUAAAGGGUGUGUAGGUGGCGCCGUAAGUCGGGUGUGAAAUUUCGGAGCUUAACUCCGAAACUGCAUUCGAUACUGCGGUGCUUGAGGACUGGAGAGGAGACUGGAAUUCAUGGUGUAGCAGUGAAAUGCGUAGAGAUCAUGAGGAAGACCAGUGGCGAAGGCGGGUCUCUGGGCCACUACUGACGCUGAGAAGCGAAAGCAUGGGGAGCGAACAGG
Molecule: ribosomal RNA, 253 nt
Filed under: uncultured bacterium
Lineage: Bacteria
Description: partial 16S ribosomal RNA
Rfam family: Bacterial small subunit ribosomal RNA
Source: RNAcentral